AGUACGGCCGCAAGGUUAAAACUCAAAUGAAUUGACGGGGGCCCGCACAAGCGGUGGAGCAUGUGGUUUAAUUCGAUGCAACGCGAAGAACCUUACCUACUCUUGACAUCCACAGAAUUUGCCAGAGAUGGCUUAGUGCCUUCGGGAACUGUGAGACAGGUGCUGCAUGGCUGUCGUCAGCUCGUGUUGUGAAAUGUUGGGUUAAGUCCCGCAACGAGCGCAACCCUUAUCCUUUGUUGCCAGCGGUUCGGCCGGGAACUCAAAGGAGACUGCCAGUGAUAAACUGGAGGAAGGUGGGGAUGACGUCAAGUCAUCAUGGCCCUUACGAGUAGGGCUACACACGUGCUACAAUGGCGCAUACAAAGAGAAGCGACCUCGCGAGAGCAAGCGGACCUCAUAAAGUGCGUCGUAGUCCGGAUCGGAGUCUGCAACUCGACUCCGUGAAGUCGGAAUCGCUAGUAAUCGUAGAUCAGAAUGCUACGGUGAAUACGUUCCCGGGCCUUGUACACACCGCCCGUCACACCAUGGGAGUGGGUUGCAAAAGAAG
Molecule: ribosomal RNA, 547 nt
Filed under: Buttiauxella sp. 498-2
Lineage: Bacteria; Pseudomonadati; Pseudomonadota; Gammaproteobacteria; Enterobacterales; Enterobacteriaceae
Description: bacterial SSU rRNA
Rfam family: Bacterial small subunit ribosomal RNA
Source: RNAcentral